UUUAUAUAACUGCACGGCUCUAUAUUCAGCUUAGCUUAAGGUUUAGAUCCUCACAGAGUACUUGUGAUGACAUCCAAGUCCAUUUACCUUUGAAUUACACGGUAUAUUCCUUUGUGAAUUAAAUUGAAAUUCUUUACAUCCGCCCUGCUAUUCUACUGCCACUUGUUGAACAGUCAGAAAUGAGCAUCAGUUUACCAUUGCGAAUAUAAAAAGACACAUUGGGACUGAUGCUGGAUAGAACAAUUUUUUUCUGGAUUUAUUGAACUUCAAUAGGAGGAGAGCUCAAACAAAGAAAAAUGGACAUAAGAAUCGUCUCUUUACCUACAAAUGGGAAGAAAUAUAUAGCAAAUUGUGGGCCAUUUAACCCUUUUCUUGGAGUUCUAUUUGAAACUUAUGAAAGUUUCACUCUUGAAAUUAGAGUGUCUAAAGAAUGAGUUCUGUUGCCCCUUAAUUUUUUCAAAUUAGAAUUGUGUAUAAGAGGGACUUCCCUCAUCAUUGAUAGGUGUCAAUGCUACUAAUCUAUAAAGAUCAAGUUAACUAGAGAGAUACAUAUAUGGAUCCACUAGUGCAAUAUAAGGAGUCUUGUAAGUAAAUGACUAAAGCAAAGUUAGAAAAUUGUCCAUAUAUCAACAACGACAAAAAAUCUAUCCAAUAUACAUGACUAUUCAAAUCUCAAAUCAAUGGGAUUUUGCUAUAUUUUCUUCCUGCAUACAUGCAGAUUCAAGUAAAGAUGGCAACACUAGGGGAGUAAGUAGAGGAAUUGGAUCUUUACUGUGACAACAAGACGGAUAUGAAGCAGAUGAAUCCACUGGCCUUAACAAUGCACCCUUGUAGUCAAGAGAACUGCUGCUGGGCUUGAGCUGAAGCGGGCGAGGAGCGCGCAUUUGCAACCGGCUCAGUGUGCUUUUCACUACUGCAUAUUCAUCUUUGGGUAUACAGGUCUGGAAACCUGGAAACUCGUGUUCAUCACCACAUCUCUCCAUAGAAUUCAUCUGUUUUUUCAACAACUUUUGCUAGAGAGAAGACUACGCUCGUUGUACCUUUUAAUUUUAAUAUUAUCUUCUAUGUGGAUGAUCUAGUCGGGGCCUGGGGGGCCUGUAUUUCGCCAAGGUAUACGUUUUGAUUGUCACCAAAAAUUUAUGAGGGGGGACCUAUAAGGAUAUAUGUUAGUACGAAAUAUUAUUU
Molecule: long non-coding RNA, 1185 nt
Filed under: Nicotiana benthamiana
Lineage: Eukaryota; Viridiplantae; Streptophyta; Magnoliopsida; Solanales; Solanaceae
Description: long non-coding RNA (NBEN_LNC011929)
Source: RNAcentral